CAUGGCUCAGGAUAGUCGUAACAAGGUAGCCGUAGACUACGCGGGGAAAAGCCGGUAGGUGCGGAAUAACAGUUAGAAAUGACUGCCAAUACCGGAUAAUGUCUUCGGACCAAAGAUUUAUUGCCUUUAGAUGGGCCCGCGUUGGAUUAGAUAGUUGGUGGGGUAAUGGCCUACCAAGUCGACGAUCCAUAGCUGGUCUGAGAGGAUGAUCAGCCACACUGGGACUGAGACACGGCCCAGACUCCUACGGGAGGCAGCAGUGGGGAAUAUUGGACAAUGGGCGAAAGCCUGAUCCAGCAAUGCCGCGUGAGUGAUGAAGGCCUUAGGGUUGUAAAGCUCUUUUACCAGGGAUGAUAAUGACAGUACCUGGAGAAUAAGCUCCGGCUAACUCCGUGCCAGCAGCCGCGGUAAUACGGAGGGAGCUAGCGUUGUUCGGAAUUACUGGGCGUAAAGCGCACGUAGGCGGCUUUUCAAGUCAGGGGUGAAAAUCCCGGGGCUCAACCCCGGAACUGCCCUUGAAAACUUGGAUGGCUAGAAUACUGGAGAAGGUGAGUGGAAAUUUCCGAGUGUAGAGGGUGAAAUUUCGGAAGAAUAUUUCGGGAAGAACCACCAGGUGGCGAAAGGCGACUCACUUGGCACCAGUUAAUUUGACGCUUGAAGGUGCGAAAGGCGUGGGGAGCAAACAGGAAUUAGAUACCCCUGGGUAGUCCACGCCGUAAACAAUGAUAACUU
This 732-nucleotide ribosomal RNA is filed under the name Qipengyuania pelagi. RNAcentral's name for it is "bacterial SSU rRNA". It matches the Rfam family "Bacterial small subunit ribosomal RNA", at positions 81 to 818 of the family's 1533-position model. Lineage: Bacteria; Pseudomonadati; Pseudomonadota; Alphaproteobacteria; Sphingomonadales; Erythrobacteraceae. The record is from RNAcentral.